Non-coding RNA from Cinara cedri, 395 nucleotides. The record is from the annotation of a GenBank genome assembly. Lineage: Eukaryota; Metazoa; Arthropoda; Insecta; Hemiptera; Aphididae.
AUCGAACUUAGCUCAAAAUCGUUUAUUCGUAAGUAACAGUUAAUCGUACAGCUUACAAAUGUAUAUGAAAUUACCAUUAAAAGAGGCUCCAAUCGUUUCCAUGAUCCUAGGGUAACGUUUUUUAUUUUGUUGUAUUGCAAUGUAUAUACAUUUUUUUCAGCCUCCACCCCCAAAAUAGAAUUUUGGAUAUACGCCUGUAACUGUGUAAUGAUAUAAAUUUCUAUUUUUAUAUACAGGUAAUCCUGAACCAACUAUAAUGCCAUCAGGUAAUGCCCUACGCACAUUUAUGUGGCUGUAUUUAUCUAAUAAAAGUAGACACAAGGACUUAAAAGAUCUUUAACUCCAUUAAACCUCAUUAGCACUAAUGAAGAUGGAAAAUUUAUUUAAUGACAUAU